GACGAACGCUGGCGGCGUGCCUAAUACAUGCAAGUAGAACGCUGAAGGAGGAGCUUGCUUCUCUGGAUGAGUUGCGAACGGGUGAGUAACGCGUAGGUAACCUGCCUGGUAGCGGGGGAUAACUAUUGGAAACGAUAGCUAAUACCGCAUAAUAGUAGAUGUUGCAUGACAUUUUCUUAAAAGGUGCAAUUGCAUCCCUACCAGAUGGACCUGCGUUGUAUUAGCUAGUUGGUGAGGUAACGGCUCACCAAGGCAACGAUACAUAGCCGACCUGAGAGGGUGAUCGGCCACACUGGGACUGAGACACGGCCCAGACUCCUACGGGAGGCAGCAGGAGGGAAUCUUCGGAAAUGGACGGAAGUCUGACCGAGCAACGCCGCGUGAGGGAAGAAGGUUUUCGGAUCGUAAAGCUCUGUUGUAAGAGAAGAACGAGUGUGAGAGUGGAAAGUUCACACUGUGACGGUAUCUUACCAGAAAGGGACGGCUAACUACGUG
RNAcentral lists this ribosomal RNA (495 nucleotides) under uncultured bacterium. RNAcentral's name for it is "partial 16S ribosomal RNA". It matches the Rfam family "Bacterial small subunit ribosomal RNA", at positions 28 to 507 of the family's 1533-position model. The record is from RNAcentral.